GAUGAAGAACGUAGCGAAAUGCGAUAAGUAAUGUGAAUUGCAGAAUUCAGUGAAUCAUCGAAUCUUUGAACGCACCUUGCGCCCUUUGGCCAUUCCGAAGGGCAUGCCUGUUUGAGUAUCAUGAACACCUCAACUCUUCAUGGUUUUCCAUGAUGAGCUUGGACUUUGGGGGUCUUGCUGGCCUGUGGGUCGGCUCCUCUCAAAUGAAUCAGCUUGCCGGUUUUUGGUGGGCAUCACAGGUGUGAUAACUAUCUACGCUUGUGGUUUUCCACCAGGGUAACCUUCAGCAGUGGAGGUUCACUGGAGCUUACAAAUGUCUCUCCUCUGUGAGGACAGCCCUUUGAAUGUUUGAUCUCAAAUCAGGUAGGACUACACGCUGAACUUAAGCAUAUCAAUAAGCGGAGGA
This 406-nucleotide unclassified non-coding RNA is filed under the name soil metagenome. Its description in RNAcentral is "partial contains 5.8S ribosomal RNA, internal transcribed spacer 2, and large subunit ribosomal RNA". The stretch from base 1 to 121 matches the Rfam family "5.8S ribosomal RNA", at positions 35 to 154 of the family's 154-position model. The record is from RNAcentral.